Molecule: long non-coding RNA, 1087 nt
Filed under: Chrysemys picta bellii (western painted turtle)
Lineage: Eukaryota; Metazoa; Chordata; Testudines; Emydidae
Description: lncRNA (ENSCPBG00000005845.1)
Source: RNAcentral
ACAGAGAAAGUAUAGCUUUGUGUUUGUACCCCUGGUCUGGAAAGAUCAUGCUCAAUUUGCUUGUAGGGAUGCACAGCUUGAUUAGCACUAGGAGCUGUGAGAGGCUCAAUCACGCUCAAUGAGGAUGGAAUCUUUGGAGAUUUAAGCUCCUAAAAUCUAAGAAGUCUCCCCUAAGCGCGUGUGAACUGAUUUUUUUUCAAAGUCUUAUAACUUGGCCAGAUUUGGGCAGAUUUUAACAGGGAUAGCAAAAAGUACAGCCAUGACAUAAAUGCCACCCCCUGACAAUUUUCAAGACCCUGCUCUGAAGUAUGGGGGAACUAGAGCUCUCCAGGUAAAAAGUUGUCCGAAUUUUUUACCAUGGGCAAAAUUAUAUAUGGUUCCCUAGCAUAAUUCUCAUUUUGGUUGAAAUUUUCCCCAAAAAUUCAGCCUGAAGCAGACACCUACCUUGGAAAAUUUCAUCCCAAACAGCUACAGUUUGGCAAAGUUAUACGCAAUGGAAAACAGGGUCUUAUAAUGGGAAGUGUCAGCACCUUAAUAAUAGGUAGUGCUACCAGACCUGCCUAUAAUAAUAAAUGUAACUUAGUAUAAAACAGUGCAUGUCUCCUCAUUAAGAAAAAUACUGAACAUACUGCCCCAAUUAAUUGGCUGCAUACUUCUUUGUAUUUUGUGAGUUUGUGCAGAAGAAGGGGUCCAUGUACAUGAAUCCGGCCCAAAUUUGCACUUGUAAAGUGGAUUCUAUAUUGAUCUUGUUCAGUUAGUAAAUUGUUAGAAGAUAAAAGUCUCCAUGUGUAAGACUAGAAAGCUAAUGGAAUGCCAUUGAUAGAUCAGUUUUCAUUGUGUGGUACUUGAAUUUAAAAAUGUAAAUUGUUUUUCUGUUCAGGGAGACAAGGGCACACAAGGUCUUCCAGGACUUCCAGGAAGAGUAAUAAGUACACUGGAAACUUAUGGUGAAAAAGGAGACAUUGGUCCUCCAGGUUUUCCAGGAUUAAAAGGUGAACAAGGUGAAAAAGGUAUGCAUUUUUAUUACGUUUUUGUUUUCAUAUAUGCUCUUCAAUUCUUUUUAAAGGAGAAUAUUAUUGAAUUACUU